Molecule: long non-coding RNA, 964 nt
Organism: Xenopus laevis (African clawed frog)
Lineage: Eukaryota; Metazoa; Chordata; Amphibia; Anura; Pipidae
Exons: 3
Source: RefSeq, a predicted model, not a curated record
AGUUAAAUUGGGUUGAAAAAAGACAAAGUCCAUCAAGUUCAACCCCUCCAAAUGAAAACCCAGCAUCCAUACUGUGACCAAAACCCCCUUCUACUGGCCCCAUUUUACCCAUAGUUUACUGACUAGUACACAUACAAUCCAAGAUGGUGUUUCUUUGUUCUACUUUCCCGCCAAAAAGCUUGAAACAAAGGAGCUCCCAGGAUUGCCCUCCAGAAGAGCUGGACAACCCCCUCCAAGGUAUUUCCCCCUCCCCUCAUGAUGCUGCAGGGCCCCUGCCAAUCAGACCUGCUUGGGUGGGGUUAACCAGAAGCAGGGCCGGCCUCCCAGCCAAUCAACCCUAGGGGGUGGGGAAAAGGGCAGGGUCACCAGAUGCAGGGUAUAAAUACCAGGGGGAAGGGGGGAGAGGGGUUGUUGUUCGUCUGGGGUGUAACCUGGCUGCGGCAGGUCACCCUCCUCUGCGGUUCCUUGGAGUUUAUCCUAGCUGAGGCAAGAAGACUCCCUCCAACAGUUUGGAUCUCCCUACCUCCCAGAGGACUGUUUGUACCUGGAUCCCCUUGAGAUUACAGUGAUAAAUAGCAGCUAUGGCCGUCCGGAGAGCUUGGACCGGGUAUCGCCCUUUGAGGAACCCUACUUGGUGAGAGUUACAGGUGCGUCCAGGAUUUCCCUAUCUUGUACUGAGAGCUUAGAUAGCUGGGCAUCACGCAGGAAAGAAAGACCUUCCUCAGGAAGAUCCUGGUUUUCUUCAUAAAAGUGCUUAAAGUAAGAUUCUAGUUCUGCCAUAAUGGUUUCAGUAUCCCGAGCCCAACCAUCCUUUGUUUUUAACUUUUUAAUAAAACGCGACGUAGCGUUAAGUCUGGUUAACCUGGCUAAAAGCCUACCCGGUUUGUUUCCCCAUCUGUAAAACCUAUUCCUUGUAUGAAAGAGUUUGUAGUGAGCACUAUCGUGUAAUAAAGUAUUGAAUAAA